RNAcentral lists this unclassified non-coding RNA (243 nucleotides) under uncultured Cladosporium. Its description in RNAcentral is "sequence contains ITS2". The stretch from base 1 to 52 matches the Rfam family "5.8S ribosomal RNA", at positions 103 to 154 of the family's 154-position model. The record is from RNAcentral. Lineage: Eukaryota; Fungi; Ascomycota; Dothideomycetes; Cladosporiales; Cladosporiaceae.
AACGCACAUUGCGCCCCCUGGUAUUCCGGGGGGCAUGCCUGUUCGAGCGUCAUUUCACCACUCAAGCCUCGCUUGGUAUUGGGCAACGCGGUCCGCCGCGUGCCUCAAAUCGACCGGCUGGGUCUUCUGUCCCCUAAGCGUUGUGGAAACUAUUCGCUAAAGGGUGUUCGGGAGGCUACGCCGUAAAACAACCCAAUUUCUAAGGUUGACCUCGGAUCAGGUAGGGAUACCCGCUGAACUUAA